GGAAUUAUUGGGCGUAAAGAGCUCGUAGGCGGUUUGUCGCGUCUGCCGUGAAAGUCCGGGGCUCAACUCCGGAUCUGCGGUGGGUACGGGCAGACUAGAGUGAUGUAGGGGAGACUGGAAUUCCUGGUGUAGCGGUGAAAUGCGCAGAUAUCAGGAGGAACACCGAUGGCGAAGGCAGGUCUCUGGGCAUUAACUGACGCUGAGGAGCGAAAGCAUGGGGAGCGAACAGGAUUAGAUACCCUGGUAGUCCAUGCCGUAAACGUUGGGCACUAGGUGUGGGGGACAUUCCACGUUUUCCGCGCCGUAGCUAACGCAUUAAGUGCCCCGCCUGGGGAGUACGGCCGCAAGGCUAAAACUCAAAGGAAUUGACGGGGGCCCGCACAAGCGGCGGAGCAUGCGGAUUAAUUCGAUGCAACGCGAAGAACCUUACCAAGGCUUGACAUGAACCGGUAACGUCUGGAAACAGGCGCCCCACUUGUGGUCGGUUUACAGGUGGUGCAUGGUUGUCGUCAGCUCGUGUCGUGAGAUGUUGGGUUAAGUCCCGCAACGAGCGCAACCCUCGUUCCAUGUUGCCAGCGCGUAAUGGCGGGGACUCAUGGGAGACUGCCGGGGUCAACUCGGAGGAAGGUGGGGACGACGUCAAAUCAUCAUGCCCCUUAUGUCUUGGGCUUCACGCAUGCUACAAUGGCCGGUACAAAGGGUUGCGAUACUGUGAGGUGGAGCUAAUCCCAAAAAGCCGGUCUCAGUUCGGAUUGGGGUCUGCAACUCGACCCCAUGAAGUCGGAGUCGCUAGUAAUCGCAGAUCAGCAACGCUGCGGUGAAUACGUUCCCGGGCCUUGUACACACCGCCCGUCAAGUCACGAAAGUUGGUAACACCCGAAGCCGGUGGCCUAACCCCUUGGGGAGGGAG
This 910-nucleotide ribosomal RNA is filed under the name Arthrobacter oryzae. RNAcentral describes it as "bacterial SSU rRNA". It matches the Rfam family "Bacterial small subunit ribosomal RNA", at positions 547 to 1452 of the family's 1533-position model. Lineage: Bacteria; Bacillati; Actinomycetota; Actinomycetes; Micrococcales; Micrococcaceae. The record is from RNAcentral.